GGGGGGCAUCUACAAGCUUAGAUGCUGGCCGAUACAAUCUUCCUAAAGUAACCUUGCACUUCAGCUUCUUGAAUAGUUGCACUGCGUGAAUCAGCUCUGCAAAUUGAAGAUGUAGUGCAUAUAUGA
Molecule: small nucleolar RNA, 126 nt
Organism: Salvia miltiorrhiza (redroot sage)
Lineage: Eukaryota; Viridiplantae; Streptophyta; Magnoliopsida; Lamiales; Lamiaceae
Product: small nucleolar RNA snoR104
Exons: 1
Source: RefSeq, a predicted model, not a curated record